This is a small nuclear RNA of Octopus sinensis (East Asian common octopus), 103 nucleotides long. NCBI's taxonomy places the organism in Eukaryota, Metazoa, Mollusca, Cephalopoda, Octopoda, Octopodidae. The record is from RefSeq and is a predicted model, not a curated record.
GCGCUAUGGCGGUACAUAUUGUACAAUUCGAAUGAUACAGAGAAGAUUGGCAUGGCCCCUGCACAAGGAUGACACGCAAAUUUGUGAAGUGUUCCAUAUUUUU